UACAGAGACUUCAAGCGUUAUCCGGAAUCAUUGGGCGUAAAGCGUACCGAUAGGUGGUUUUACAAGUCAGAAGUGAAAUCUUAAAGCUCAACUUUGAGACUGUCUUUUGAAACUGUAAAACUAGAGGGGCAAAGAAGAAGCUGGAACGAACGGUGUAGUAGUGAAAUGCGUUGAUAUCGUUCGGAACACCAAUAGCGUAGGCAGGCUUCUGGGUGCCACCUGACACUGCUAGGACGAAAGCGUGGGGAGCGAAUGGG
Molecule: ribosomal RNA, 257 nt
Filed under: uncultured bacterium
Lineage: Bacteria
Description: partial 16S ribosomal RNA
Rfam family: Bacterial small subunit ribosomal RNA
Source: RNAcentral